UAGCCGUAAACGAUACUCGCUAGGUGUCGGCCACGGUGCGACCGUUGUCGGUGCCGUAGGGAAGCCGUGAAGCGAGCCACCUGGGAAGUACGGCCGCAAGGCUGAAACUUAAAGGAAUUGGCGGGGGAGCACCACAACGGGUGGAGCUUGCGGUUUAAUUGGAUUCAACGCCGGAAAUCUUACCGGGACCGACAGCAACAUGAAGGCCAGGCUGAAGACUUUGCCGGAUUAGCUGAGAGGAGGUGCAUGGCGUAGUCGUCU
RNAcentral lists this ribosomal RNA (261 nucleotides) under uncultured archaeon. RNAcentral's name for it is "partial 16S ribosomal RNA". It matches the Rfam family "Archaeal small subunit ribosomal RNA", at positions 748 to 1009 of the family's 1478-position model. The record is from RNAcentral.